Molecule: long non-coding RNA, 1465 nt
Filed under: Felis catus (domestic cat)
Lineage: Eukaryota; Metazoa; Chordata; Mammalia; Carnivora; Felidae
Description: lncRNA (ENSFCAG00000047422.1)
Source: RNAcentral
AGCUCUUGGAAGCAGGAAAAUGUCUACUAGCUUCAAAAGUUCAGGAGGCUCCAUUUAAUUUAAUCUGACCUCCCUUUGAAUGCAGCGCCUAACAUUUUUUUUUUUUUUAAUUUAAAUUUUAGUCGACAUCCAGUGCCAUAUUGGUUUCAGGAGUAGAAUUCAGUGAUUCAUCACUUAUAUACGACACCCUGUGCUCAUCACAACAGGUGCCCUCCUUAGUACCUCUCACCCAUCUGGCCCAUCCCCCACCCACUUCCUGGGUCAAACCUCAGUUUGUUCUCUACCCUUAUGAGUCUCUUAUGGUUUGCUUCCCUCUCUCUUCCCCCGCCUCUUCCCAUAAGUUCAUCUGUUUGGUUUCUUAAAUUCCACAUACGACUGAAAUCCUAUGGUAUUUGUCUAUCUCUGGUUGACUUAUUUCCCUCGCAUUUUUAUUUGUAGUGGUGGGCACUGUAGUUUUUCUCUCUCUGGUUCCACUGUCUCUAGAUUUUUCCAUUCAACUUUCCCAAUAACGUAACAAUACUUUCACACGAGGCCCCGUGAGAGCACUGACACGACAGGCAGAGGCAGGUCUUGGCCCCGAGGGGCUCAUAAACGGACGCAGACAGAUGCUUGCUUACAGAAUGUGAUCCUGUUCAGAUAAAAUAGGAUGCCAUUUGAAAUCUAGCCUCUUAUUCAAGUUUUUUUUUUUUAGACAAUUGUUGCCAUUUUAUUUAUAGCUAAUUUCUCAUUUCCAGCACUUUUCCUGUCCAAGUCAAAACUGGUUCUCUUCCACAUCCAAAGUGUGUGGGGACGACAAGAGACACUGGCUCAUCACCCGGCUCCCAGAGAAACACAAUGGAGGCAACCACCAGGGUCUGCUGGCAUAACGUCAGGAGAGUCAGAAAUCACCAGGAGUGGUGAACUGAGGACGGUCUAGAACCAGGGAUUGGUUUGGAUCGGAGGAACCACACCAAAGCUGGUUUCCAGGAGGACCCGGACUUGGGAGCAGAAUGGAGACAGGAGGCACGAGGUCUCGGAGGAAGUGCUACGACGUCUGGCUGCUGCCCAAAUAAAACCUUUACCUCAAGCUACGCAUUCGAAACUGGAAGAAGGCAUUCGUUCUUGCCUAGGGAGAGCCUUCCUGGGAGGUGGCUCAUCAAACCCUCAUGCCCCCUUAAAAAACCUUCAUCAAAUUUCCACCACGCAAAGGUUGAAGUGUUUCGGUCACCGAAGCGGUUCAGUGAUGAUCGCGGUGGCUGUUUCUUACAGGGGAUACUCGUCCAUUCAUUCAUUCAUUCAUUCAUUAGUUCGUUCAUUCAACAGACAUGUAGCAAGUUCUGCAGUGUGACAGACAUUGCGCCUGAAGGCAGAGCAAACACAGUCACCGUUGCGGCCAUCUCGGAAACUCGCAUCGAAUAAAUCAUAAACAAACGUAAUCUUGCCACACUCACCUGAAUAAAAGGCACAGACCUGACCUCUAUGUUCA